RNAcentral lists this long non-coding RNA (228 nucleotides) under Haliotis rubra (blacklip abalone). Its description in RNAcentral is "uncharacterized LOC124284222". Lineage: Eukaryota; Metazoa; Mollusca; Gastropoda; Lepetellida; Haliotidae. The record is from RNAcentral.
UUGAGAUUCACGACUGACGGGGCAGGACUGCCCUCCCACCCACUCCCGUGCAAGGCUUCCGGGAAUUCCAAACGGAAAACUCUACUGGAGCACAUGGGCAGAUAUGGUUACCAGAUAACACAGCACUGAGGAGCCAUUCAGAUCGGUUCCAGCCGUGGAUGUAAACUUCGUAUUCAAUGUAUUUCAAUAAACUUGCCGCCCCGUCAGGCUGACGUGAACGUACCCAAA